UUCUGCGCUUCCGGGGCCCAGGCGCUGCGCGCUCGCCACACCCUCUUCAUCUGCAUAGGGUGCCGCCCCCGCCCGCCCUGCGGACCGAGACUGGCUGAGCGGCGCGGCGAGCCAAGAAGUCCGUAGAGCGCGAGGCCGGUAGCUAUUUGUACGUACAUGUAUAUGUCCGUGUAUUUGUACAUAUACUUAACUUAGAGACGGUCUUUCGCGCCUAAGCCUCUCUAUUCUUUUUUCCUCAACGGGAAGACCCUGAAAAUGCCUCAAGAGUUGUAAGUGGCCCUAAAAACUGAAUCACGAGUAAAAUCACGCAAGUGCAGAAAGUCGCCAAACAUAAAAUUCUCUGAUUCAGCGCGUCCUUAUAGCUUAAUAAUGGGGCUCCAGAGGUUCCUCACGACCUCCCGCUUAAACAGUGUAUCGGUAUAAAGCUAGACCGUUUUUUUUAAUCAAGAAACACUGUCUCGGUGUGAACUAUUGAGCCCACUCGUCCAUGCAAAUCAGUCUCCGCGAGUGAGGGGAAGGGCUUGCUAACUGUGUUUCGAUUCUCGAAACCUCGGGAAGUGCCUGGGAGCUCCGGGCAAGCCCGAGGAGACGCGGGGGCGGAGCCGCGAGGUUGCGUCCAACUCGUGCGCACGAGCCGCUCCGGGCGGCCGGGAGCGCGGCGUGGGCCAGCGCGCGUCACCGAGCGGACGACCCGGCGGGUCGGGCGGCUGGGCGGGCGAGCGGCCAAAAGCCGAGGACGGCGCGGGCCCGGGGUGCAGCGCGGAGAGCGCGCCGCCGCUGUGUCGCGCGAAGAGCUGCUGCGCGCGCCCGGAAGCACCGCGGCGCGUUCUCCCGCGGACAGAGGAAGCGAAGCGCGUUCGUCCCAAGCUAAGGAAUAUCCUUCCUACUACAUUGGAUAUAUCUUCAAAACUCUGCUCAAAAAUUACUUCAUAUGUGAAGCUGUCCAUUGAUGAGGCUACUUGGCUGCAUGUGUCUAAUUCUAUUUAGGAAUCAUCAGGAAAAGCCAGUAACAUCAGUGGUGUCCAUUGAAUGGCUCAGAUUUGAGAAAACCCAGGCUUCUGGAAGCAGUGAUAGAGCAGCUGCAGCUAGAGGCUCCCACAUGGUGGCCUGGAGAAUAUGGUAUUUCCAUCCACAAACCAAGCACCAGGAGAGGCAAGAAGAAUCUUCAGUUUGAAAAGUUCAGAAGAAAUGAUAAGAGAGAACCAAAACCAAGAUAAGUAUGCAGAGUAUAACAGUAUAAUUGUAAAAGAACUUAAGUUUCAUAGUCUGGAAAAAAAUACAUAUGGAUAUUUCAGGGGGAGGGAGACUGGGGGAUGUAAACAAAUUCUCAGAAUUGAAUCUUUGAGGAAUCAGAGGAAUCAGAAGAUGAACCACUGUGAUUCUUAUUUCCAAAGAGGAGAGACAGAUUUUACAAAACACAAACCAAAAGAUUUGAUAUAUGUUUUAGAAAAAAUUCUUGACUGAACUAUUAAAAGCUGGGCUUGUAAUACAUGAAAACAAAGUGGGGAUAAUGAAGAAUAAGUCAUCCCAGAUUAAACUAAUUGUUGGUAGAGUUACUAAAUUGGCGAGAAGGAAUGAUAUAAACGUGGCAUGCCAUGAUUGCAGCAAGAUGUUAGACAAUGUCUUUUAUAAUAUUUUUCUUGCACUUCAAGACAAAUUAUAAAUUGGAUUAAAGGAGUUAGUUGAGUUUAAAAUGGGCUGAACAACUGCAGUAAGAAAAAAAGUCAGUGUUGACCAAAAGGUAGUUCCAAGAAGGUCUUCUGUAUCUCAUUCAAUGAUUUACUAGUGGUUUGAGUAAAAAUUCUCAGCAACUCUGAAAAUACUUAAGUUGGGACAGAUAACAAUUACCAACAUGAUAGAAACAGGACAUAAAAGAGCUCAAUCGCUGAGAACAAACUGAGGGUUGAUGGGGGGUGGGGGAGAGGGGAAAGUGGGUGAUGGGCAUUGAGGAGGGCACCUGUUGGGAUGAGCACUGGGUAUUGUAUGGAAACCAAUUUGACAAUAAAUUUCAUUAAAAAAAAAAAGCUCAAUCGGCUUACGUAAUGAGCCAAAUCAAACAAAAAUGAAACUUAGAAGAAAGAAAGAAAGAGCUUUUCACAUGGAUUAGAAGUGCCAGAACAUUGUUACGAGAGAAGGGGACAAGAGAGACAGAGUAGGGAAUAAAAAGCAGAGAGCUUUGGUGAAAGGACAUGUAUUAGGCUUCCUAGGACCUUCAUAACAAAGUACCAAAAACUGGGUAACUUGAAACAACAGAAAUGUGUUGUCUCACAGUCCUGGAAGCCAGAAGUCCAAAAUUAAGGUGUCAGCAGGGCCAAGCUCUCACUGAUGACUCUGAGGAAGAAGUCUUCCUUGCCUCUUCUAGCUUCUGGUGUUUGCCAAAAAUCCUUGGCAUUCCUUGGCUUGCAGACAUAUCACUCCAGUCACAUGACCAUCUUCUCCUUGGUUCUUCACGUCAUCUUCCCUCUGUGCGUGUCUGUCUCCGUGUCCUAAUUUCCCCUUUUCACAAGGACACCAGUCGCAUUGGAUUAGGGCCCACCCUAAUGACCUCAUUUUAUUUAAUUACCUCUGUAAAACCCCAAUUCCAAACAAGGUCACACUCUGAGAUACUGGGAGUUGGGACUUCAACAUACCUUUUGUAGGGGGACGCAAUUCAGCCCAUAACAAGCCACUCAGUGUGAAUGAACAGUAAUGUGCCCAGCACGAAAGCACAACUGCAAAGAUCAGGAUGAAAGAGAGAGCUCUGCCUUCCUGGUCAGGGCUCACCUGCAGAACUGCAGUCGGUUCUGGGCCUUUAACAGACGGUCAGGAUGAUGAGAGAACUUAAAACCAAAUUACUGGACCAUAGUUUGGAGGAAAUGGGAAUGUCUAGCCUGAGGAAGAACAGGCACAGGGGGAAAUGAAAGCUGCUUUCAAAUACAUGAUCAGUGGCUGAAAGUAGAACUGGAGUUGUUUUUUAUGGCUCUGAAGUCAGAAUUAUAUUACUGAGAGGGAUUGAUUCAACUGAAUGAAAAGAAGAUUCUAAAAGGUAGUAUGUCCAGAGGCAGUUAGGAUUUCAUAGAAAUACUGAAUUCCCUAUCUUUGGAUGUCUUCAAGCAAAGGCUUAACACGGAAGGAGGGUGGUUUAAAAGGAAUGAUGGCACUGGAAAUUAGCUUGGAUCACGAGUCUUCUAACUUUGAUAUGCAAGAAUUCUACGAAAGAAGUUAUUCUUUUAACUAAAGAAUAUUAAUACUCAAGUUGCCCAUAAUAUCCUAAGAGGAAAUAGAAUGUGCUAACCAAAAUUUAGGAUUAUCUUCUAUUAAAUAAAAUGUGGAGGAAAGAAAAAUGACAGGGAUAACCUAUUUUAUCUGUACAAAUAAAAAAUAGUUGAUCUAAGUAAACAAAAUAGGCUCAAGAAGAAUAUAGAAAAAGUUGGGGUUCCUGGGUGGCUCAGUUGGUUGGGCGACUGACUUCGGCUCAGGUCAUGAUCUCAGUUUGUGAGUUAGAGCCCUGCAUCGGUCUCUGUGCUGACAGCUCGAAGCCUAGAGCCUGCUUCAGAUUCUGUGUCUCCCCCUCUCUCUACCCCUCGCCUGCUCACGCUGUAUGUCUUCUCUCAAUAAUGAAUAAAUGUUAAAAAAUUAAAAAAAAAAAAAGAAUGUAGAAAAAGCACAAAAUCAAAUAAGCAAAAGCAGAACCUUACCCAAGUCACAGGAAUUUUAAAAUAAAAGUAGUAUUUCAAUUUUUAUGGAAGUAAUAUGAAAGAUGAAAUCUAAAAUAGGAAAUAGAAAAUUCAAUAAGGACCAACAAUUUUCUUCUCCCAAUAUCCAGGAGCAUAGACAAAACAGGAAGAAUAGAUACUAUCUGGUGAAGUGAAUUGGUUUAUGUGAAGAGGUUUGGAAGGAGGAAGAGAUCAGUGAAGAUGAGCUAAUAGAAGGACGUCACGUGGGCAGUGGAAAGGGCACCAGGUUUGAAAAUAAGUCUGAAGACCAGCUGGUCUUGGCUCAGCCACCAACCAGCUGCACAAAGUCACACAAAACAGUUCUCUGCUUCUCAGUUUGUUCUGUUAUUAAAAAACAAGCAAAAAAAGAAUCAGAUGAUGUUUUAACAAUUCCAUCCAGCUGUAAAAUUGUGACUCUGAUAAAUAUACACAGGUAGGGAGUGAGGAAAUAUUUUAACACAAUAAAAGCAUAGGAACAUACAACUUGAAGAGACCAUUAAGUAAGAAACAGCCAAUGUAACUGCGUAAAGGAUUGUAAUUAAAAGCAAUGGAUUGAAACAAUAAUAAUAGAUACUGUAAAUGGGGAUGUGCUAAUAAGCCAAAUGUCUACAUACAAAGACUGUUUGAGUUUUAAGAAAAAUAAAAGGGAAAUCAUUAAGUUAAGUAAUUAGCACAUUAAUUAUUACACAUGAAGUGUUAGCUUUGUAUUACCAAUGAACUGAGUACCUUAUAUAUAAUUAACAAAUAUUUCUGUAAACUCACUCAUUCCCAGUACUUUGUUUUGUAUGAUCCAAGAUAUAAUAUACCCAUAAACUGGAGGCUAGGUGUUCAGCUUCCAAGUCUAAUAAUGUCAAUUCUAGGCAACAUAAUUUAGAAUUAAGUUCUCAGGUACUUUUUAUGCAGUGGCAUUUUCAUAAAAAUUCUCCACCACAUUUAGCAAAAUUUAAUGAUUACUAUAAACCUUGCAGAUGAUUUUUGAAUCUGAAGAAAGACAUAAAUUAACUAACGUUUUUUUGUAACACAGGAUAAUACAUGCAAUAAAACAAGAAGACUCAACAUACAAAGAAGGUUUAAAUUGGCAGUGAUGCCUUUGGAUUUUGAAGGAUAAGUAGGAGUUUUGUCAAAGCUAAAAUGGAGAAGCAUUCCAAACAAUGUUUAAAGGCAUGGAAGCAAGAAACAAAAUGAAAGAUUUGGGAAAUUAUAAUUGGUUAACGUAUUUCUGAAACAAAGUGCUAGGAGUAGACAAUAGCAAGAGGUGAAACAGAACGAGAAAAUUAGGUCACAAAGGCCUUCCUGGGUCACUCUAGUAGCAAAUGCCUUUCUUAAGGGCAACAAAAGGCCACUGAAGGGUUUUGAGCAUAUAGUGAUAGAUGCAAUUGGUAUUACAAGAAGAUGAUUCUGGCUGCAGAGUGGAGAGGGAGAUAUGAGCUGAAGAAGAAGUGAGAGAGGCAGGGAAAGGAACUAACUUAAAGCCAUAGCAAGGAGUUGGGGAAAAGAGGUUUUUGAAGUGAAAUUGGUGGGAUUUGGGAAACCAAUGAGACAUUUCAGAACUGUUACAGAGCUAGUCACAGAGAGGGACCACAGAAGGAAAACCAGGUUUGGGGGUGGGAGGUCCAGUUUGGACCAUAUCAAGUUUGAGAUGCUCAGAAGACAAGUACAUGCUCCUCUCUAUCACCUUUUUCUUUUCUAACCCCUGAACAUUGACAAAGUCUGUUUUUAGAGAAUAUGGAAACCUAAUUAUCUGAUUUAUUUUAUUAAUGAAAUCUCUUUAAGAAAAUAAAAGAGAACUAUGUUGGGGCACCUGGGUGGCUCAGUCAGUUAAGUGUCCAACUUCAGUUCAGGUCAUGGUCUCAUGGUUUGUGAGUUUGAGACCUGUAUCAAGAGCUCUGCUGUCAGUACAGAGCCUGCUUCAGAUCCUCUGUCCCUGUGUCUCUCUGCCCCCCUCUCAAAAAUAAAAUAAACAUUAAAAAAAUCCUUAAAGAAAAGAGAGAAUUAUGUUUUCCCCCAGAGUAAAAUGAAGUGCCACAUAAUGUUCUAAGGAAUGACAGUGUCUAAAAAAUCUGUCCUAAUGCUAUCAAAGACCAGCUAAUCAAAUGCUCUGUCAAUAAAAAGUAAUUGUAUAUGCCAUAUCUAGAUCAUGAAAAUUUAAAGAAUAGGAAUGCAAAAGAUAUGCUUAAGAGCAAAACUGAACAGAACCUCAUCUUCCAGGUUUCAAAGACUCUUCAAGUAAAUGUGCUCUUCUGCACCUUACUUAAAACUGUGCUUAAUGUGUGGAAAUGUUUUUUGCCUUUGCUGGAGAGCCAAGUCAACUAUCCCGCUCUGUGUAAUGGUCUGCACUUGGUUUGGAUAGAAGAAUCUGAGGGGCGACAGCAUCUGUAAAAAGGAAGGGGACAGUGGGCCAAGUUUGCAUUCUCCUUUGGCAACAUAGGGCCAGACUCAUAAGAAUGUGGUCAAGACAUAAUGUUACAUUUAACUGAUAUUUAACAUGCUGUAGUUGGGAAGGCCACAGAGUUGCUGCAGUGUGUGUCAAUAAGCCCUAUGAGAAAAACAGACUGUGCAAAUGUUAUUUCCAAAAGUCACACACUGGCAGGCUGACAGACACUAACACAUUUGGGUAGCAAUAGCCAAUCCAAAGUUUCCUUGCAUAAUUAGUAGAUUUGGUACUCUUGAAAAAGGACAUUUUCCAUGAAGAACUUGCUUUGAAGGCAGACUUUCACUGCCAGGUCUCCUGGGAGAAUCAUUUUUUCCAGCUCUCACUUUUGCUAUCUCUGACUCAUCUCUCAAAGUUUAAGGGAAAACAUUCUUAUGGGGGGAACAUGUGGGGGUCAAGAUAGAACUUUUUGAGUAUCUGCAAAUGUCCACUAUUAUCAGAGCUUCACAUAAGUUUGCUCCAGUGUGGUGACCCCAGCUCUGGGCUCCAUCUUGGAGAUGGAGAGAACAGGUGAGCCAUAGGGACAGCUUGACAUGCAGCACCAAUGGUACACCAAUGUUGCUUCAUAUGUUGUGCCUAAGAUCCACAAAUCCUGUCGUUCUUGGGAGCAAGUAAUGAUUUACUCUUGAAAGAGGAAGUAGGGAUACAGUCUGGACAAUGUGGGGUGGCCAGUCAAGAGGAAGAGGAAGAAGGGACAAUUAUCCAUACACUUCAAGAAAUGACUAGAAAACACCAGGGCACCUGAGUGGCUUGGUCGGUUAAGGAUCUGAUUUCAGCUCAGGUCAUGAUCUCACAGUUUGUGAGUUCAAGCCCCGCAUUGGGUUCUGUGCUGACAGCUUGGAGCAGGCCUGGAGCCUGCUUCUGAUUCUGUGACUCCCUCUCUCUCUCUGCCCCUCCACUGCUCGUGCCCUCUCUCUCUCUCUCUCUCUCUCUGUCUCUC
Molecule: long non-coding RNA, 7066 nt
Organism: Neofelis nebulosa (Clouded leopard)
Lineage: Eukaryota; Metazoa; Chordata; Mammalia; Carnivora; Felidae
Exons: 4
Source: RefSeq, a predicted model, not a curated record